UUGUAAACUUUAAAAAUAAAAUAAAAUAAAACUUCUCCUACGCCUAUAAAUGUUGAAAAAGUACACACAAAUCGCAGUUUUGUGUGGUACACACACACACACACACACAACUGCAUUUGCCCACAGAUCCGGUUACGAGUGCGCAAGUAUUUUUGAGACUCAUUUCACGCUUCGGGGAAGCUCCCAGAUUUGUGUGUAGAUGAUGCGUUUAAAUGCUAGUACAAGCUGGGUCAUCUGCGUUUUGUUUAAGAUGGCAGUAGUUAGAUUUUAUUUAAAGUAGUACAUUAAGUUUAAAUGUGAGGUAAUUUUAUUGAAUUUAUGUUAAGUGUACAUUCAAAUGUGGAGGGGGAACUUUUGUUUUGUUCCGCGGACUAAGUGUUGCCCAGGGAAGCAUUGGCUGGCGCAUUUAGAGACACAUGGGCAUUCAAGCUGAAGAAGCUGUAAGAAAUUAAGCUUUAUUCCUCUGGAGUCAAUGCGGUUAAUGAGUUCUGACGGCAUUUUUGGGGACUUUGAAAGACGUGUCCACAAUAAAUGGCUGUUGAAAACCAAGAAUUGCGUUAAGCUUUGAUUUUACUCGAGAGGAGUAACAUCAGCACUUCCUUAUAAUAUCCUAAAAUUAUUUAUAUACAUAUUGUGCAUUUUUGAGCUGUACAGGAGACUAAGUGGUCAGAAAAACGACCACUGGGUGGCGGAAUGGUUCGCUGGCCGGAUAAAUAGCCAAGCAAACCCAGAACCAUGACGGAGCAUCCCGGUGGUCUGUUCUCUGAAGACAAAACGGCUGACUGAUGGAUCGGGUCUGGUGUUAUUUCACUUUCUGGACGAUCAGGAUCUUUCAGAUCUCAUCUACCUUCUGAUCCGAUGGAGCUGCUGCAGGAACACACUGAUCCUCUAACAGGAUUCUCAGAUCCAGGCAUCGAUGUCUGGUGUCCUGCAACAUUUAGAUACAUCCUGGUCCAACACACCUGAAUAAAUGACUGCUUAGGACAGUCAAGUUCUCCAGAGUCGUGCUAAUGACCUCUGACCUCAUGAUUUGACUCGGGUGCGUUAAAGAAGAGACAUCUAAAGGUUGGAGGACACCGACCCUUAUGAACUGGAGUUGAAGCACUGCUGUACAAUUGUCAUUCAAUCGUAAUCACAUUUACUUGCAUAGAGUGGAAACGUUACUUAUGUUGAGGCAGAUGAGGAGUUUACAUAGUGCCUUUACUUUAAUACCAUAAUGGUUUCCAUUUAUUGAAAGUAAAUUACAAACAUUUAGCCAUAGUUUGACCACUGCUUUAUGACAGGAAAAAAAGCUUGAUGUCACAAAUAUAUUAUUUUAAUAGAGGCAUCAUUCGAUUUAUACUGUAGAAAGAAGUAUUUCCUGAAUUAACUUUAAUGUUCAUUUUACUGCACACAAAGGACAUAUUAAAUAUUUAAGAAUGCAACAAAUCUGUUGAAUCUUUAACAAAAUAAGUUCAGAUUAACAUGGGUGGUCUCACAGCUACCGAAAGUUAACAAUGACAUGUCUUAAAACUUACAUGGAUGUUCAAAUAUUUACUAUUAUCAAAUACAAAAGAAAACACCAUAAAGCUGUGCAUUCAAAGACGACCAAGGCCAGUCUGUACAGAUUGAGGAGACACCAUAACAUCUACCAACAGAGCAGGUUAACUACUGUAGUAGUUUGAAAGGCGUCUUGGUCCAGUUGACGGCUCAGUUUGAAGCUUCAGGUUUUGGUGUUGAACCUCCCAGAGUCUCAGCUGCUGCAGAUUGUCUGGAGAUGCAGAGAAAAGUACAAAUAGACAGUUAGUGUUAGAAAAAUUUAUGUUGAUUUUCCUGAACAGCUGGUGCACCGACAAACCUGACUGUGACAGAACAUUAAUGAACCUGAAAAUUAAUUGAAUCCUCACAAUGUAUCUAGAAAUUUUUCUUUUUACGUCGAUCAAAUGUUUAUGCAUUAAAUGUUUUCCUGUGGAGGCUAUUUUUGCAGUGGUGCUUUAAAUAAAUGCAUAAAAUAUUUA
Non-coding RNA from Poecilia reticulata (guppy), 1997 nucleotides. Lineage: Eukaryota; Metazoa; Chordata; Actinopteri; Cyprinodontiformes; Poeciliidae. The record is from RefSeq and is a predicted model, not a curated record.